RNAcentral lists this ribosomal RNA (468 nucleotides) under uncultured bacterium. RNAcentral's name for it is "partial 16S ribosomal RNA". It matches the Rfam family "Bacterial small subunit ribosomal RNA", at positions 28 to 507 of the family's 1533-position model. The record is from RNAcentral.
GACGAACGCUGGCGGCGUGCUUAACACAUGCAAGUCGAACGGAAAGGCCCUGCUUUUGUGGGGUGCUCGAGUGGCGAACGGGUGAGUAACACGUGAGUAACCUGCCCUUGACUUUGGGAUAACUUCAGGAAACUGGGGCUAAUACCGGAUAGGAGCUCCUGCUGCAAGGUGGGGGUUGGAAAGUUUCGGCGGUUGGGGAUGGACUCGCGGCUUAUCGGCUUGUUGGUGGGGUAGUGGCUUACCAAGGCUUUGACGGGUAGCCGGCCUGAGAGGGUGACCGGCCACAUUGGGACUGAGAUACGGCCCAGACUCCUACGGGAGGCAGCAGUGGGGAAUAUUGCACAAUGGGCGGAAGCCUGAUGCAGCAACGCCGCGUGCGGGAUGACGGCCUUCGGGUUGUAAACCGCUUUCGCCUGUGACGAAGCGUGAGUGACGGUAAUGGGUAAAGAAGCACCGGCUAACUACGUG